GGUGCCCCAGGGCAGCCGGCCUGGAUCUGUAUCUUGGUCAUGUCUCAGACUCAUCUGCAACCUGGGAACAAUAAAGCUUCCGUCACUGAGUUAAGGUGAGGACGGAAUGGAAUCGUUUAUGUAAAGCACCUCGACAUAUCUGAGGCCUGGCGGGUAUUCAACACUUAGAAGCUUUCGGUAUUACAUCAGACUGGUAAAAAUCUGAUGUCCUAGUUCCAAAAGCAGAUAAAAGGAGAUUCUUUCCCAAGACUCACUAAAUAGGAGAAAAGCAAACUAGAAGACUGCCUUCUACUUCCUCAAGACCGAGAAAGAAGAAAGUGAAGGAGGAAGGAAAACAGCUAGUCCUGCCCCAGUAAUUAUCAGGAAGAGGACCAGGAAUAUCCAGCUGGAUCCCGACGCGGCACGGCAGCCUCUCAGAAGGGGUUUCGCUUGGGUCAACGGGAUAAACAAAAUGAAUGGCUGGAAUCCUGUCUUCGAGGCGGCGAGGGCGUGGGGCUGGGGGUUCCAGACGUCUGGAAGCCUGUGAGCUCAGCCGGGUCGGUCACAGCGUAAGGCUGUGUCUCUGGGUCUCCCGUCUUCAGCCUCUUUCCCUUCCUUUGUGAAAGUAAAUGCUGAGUUAGAUGA
Long non-coding RNA from Canis lupus familiaris (dog), 624 nucleotides. RefSeq lists it as uncharacterized. The record is from RefSeq and is a predicted model, not a curated record. The transcript has 2 exons. Lineage: Eukaryota; Metazoa; Chordata; Mammalia; Carnivora; Canidae.